AGGCAAACAAACUGACAGCACAGGGAGCAGUUUGGAGAAUCCAUCUUAAUCUCAGGCAGAACUGGACACAGCUUGCAUGGUUGGAAAAUCAACAGAACUACAGUUUCAACAAGGAAUUAUUUAAAUUAUGAGGGAAAACCAGGAAAAAGGUAAUCUUCGUUCUUUUUGCUCCACAGAGAAAGUAUUAUUUUGUACUGACUCUGAAUGCAGUCAGGCAAUCACUAGACUUUGGGAUAAAGCACUAGGAAAUUUUAGAUGCACAGCUGGGGGAAUGCAAGGCAACAGUGCAUUUUUCUGGGUCCAGUUUUUGUCCUUUUGCAGAAGAGGGGAAAGAGAUUUAGUUUUUUAAUUCAGGCUCAAUAAAGACAGGAUGCAGGUUGUUCAGGGAAGUAAAGAGCUAUUUUAAUUGUCCCUUAUCCCACAAAACGAAAAAGGAUUUGACCACCAAAGUACUUUUUAUUUUCUCAAUCUUCUUGAAGUUCAAAAGGCUCUGCUUAAAGCAAUAGGCCAAGUAUUCUCAACAGCCCAACAGAAAUGCAUCCUGUGCAGAUACCUUUCAACCUUCCAAACCCAGGAGGAGUGCUCUGAAUCCCAUCUGAUAGAGGGUUUAUUGUUCUGCCAGGCUGGGCAGCAGUUUGUGGAAUGGCUUGUUUUCAGCUCUGACAGACACGAGCAUUCAGCAAACCAAACACACACAGAGCAGGAAUGAUAAAAUGACAGCAGGGAUUAGACGAUACAAGAGUUUGAAAAAUUACAUUAAGACUUUUAUCUUUAUGCAGGAUACAUGUACUCAGUUAAAACUACAGAAACAUGACAAAAAAUAUAACACUAUUAGUACAGUAAAAUCCCUCAAACUUAAAUGGGAAAACCCUCUAAAAUAUUCUCUACAUAUUUUUCCUUUUACAAAACAUUUGAAAAUGCCAAUCCCAUGAACAGAUAUAAAAAUAUAAUCUCUGGAACAUUUUCCUAAAACCAUGACAAGUUCUGUUUCAUGCAAAAACAUACCCUCCAACUUGUGUCAUUUUGGAAUUGUCCCCCCAGCCCAGACAAGGUCACUGAUAUUGGGUGCAAAUGCAGUGAUGGUACCUGAGCUCAAUCUUACUUGAGCUACUCUAGCUGAUCAUUGAUUAACUUUCAAAAGCCUAACACUACUGUGGCCAUUCCUACCCUUUGUACACAAGGUAAAAAUAAAGGCCUUUCAAAAAGCAUGUCCUCUUCAAGGAGUUAUUUGUCCUGUGGUGUUGUAUCAGUGCAGGGAUUUUCAUCUUGGCUCAUCUGGAAACAUCUGUGAAAGCUUAACUCCAAAAAUCGAGCCUUUUGUUCUAAAAUAAUCAGGUCCUUUCUCUUUAAUUCACCACUGAUGCCAGUGUGGGCUUCAGAACACAAAGGUGAAACCCCUUCAGCUGAUUAGGAUCCAGGUACCAACAAAUCUUUCUUCUGGUACACUUGAUUUCAAGAGUGGGCAAGAGCCUGAUUCUCAGGGUAUAAAGGCUGACAAUUGGAAGGAUCUUAACAAUAUUCUCAAUUAACAAUGGCAAACUGGGUGAUAUUCUUUAACAAAGUGAAAUGUGCUACUCUGCAAUCACAAUUGAAUAACCUCUUGCCAGGACCACAGUUUUAAAAUAUUAUUCACCUAAAGUUUACUUAUGUGCUGAAUUCUGAUACUCUUCAAAUCAAGUAGAAACUGCUGAAGUUAAGGAAGUCUAGAGAAACUUUACACACAAAUAUGAGUUUAUUCUUUUUCCCUAAUGAAAACAGAGAUGUUUUACUAGAUUCCUUGAUGGUAUUAGUGCACAGAACUUCUGAAUGCUGAAACAAGGCAGAGGAAGUACAUAAAAAAUACACUCAGAUCCCUUUUCUUAUACCAACAACUCUCAAUUAUUUUAUUUAUGGGAAAUAAAAGCAGAAAUUUUUGUGUCAUUGUGAUGUUUAUCCUUUUUUCUAGUUUCCUGUUUUUUCAAAUAAUUAAAACUAUAUUAUAUAUGUAAAGCACCAUCAGUUUUCAAAGCAGUUAACAAUUUUUCUCCUUUGAUUCUUCACAGUACCAGUGCACACAAAUAGUUCCCCGUUCCCUCCCCAGGCUGCUGUAGAAAGGAAAUGUGAAUUACUCAGUAUAACCAGUGGAGCCUGCUGAGGCUGAACACAGAAAUUAAUGUAAGGACACCAGAAUUUGUUCAGUUUAUAUUAAAGAAAGUGUCCUUUGGUGAUGAGGUGCAGUGAUGCUGUGACAGCCCCAUCAACACUGUCUGUACUGUGUUACCUAAGGGGAAACAGGAAGGACUUGUGCCUAGGAAGGAGCAGAAGGCUCAGAACUCAGUGGUUUCUCGUGCUAAUCAAAGCCAUGGCUCUCAUGCUACAAGGAGGGAAAAAUACCUUUUGCUGUUUGAAAGCUUUUCUUCCCUGUGCAGAUGAACAACUACUGCAGACUUGUCUGAAUGGCAAACCUGAACUUCAUAUUUUAAACACUGGUGCUACAUAAACACUAGCCUUGGAUACAAACUGCAUUGGGUAAUUUGAUUAACCAAUGCUAUCUUAUCAGUAAGGCUGUGUGCUUUUGUGAAUAAGCUGAUUUCAUGAUCUGUUUGUUGAGGUUUUUGCCAUUUUAGCCAUUAACAAUGACCAGGUGUUUAGAAACUAUGCCAGACAUUUAUAAUGACAAGUGUUAGGACAGAUGAAAUAAUAUACACAUGAACUGUCACGGAAGUAGGACUGUUUCAGAUGUUUUUUACACUGAAAUUCCCAAUUAUUAGGCCUUAGUGUUUUAAAUCUUCAAAUCACUUUAGAACCGUGAAACAAUCAGUGCUCAAAAUAUUCCCUAAUUAGCAGUAUUUGCUGAUAAGAAAAUAUGACAGAGGAAAAAGAAUUUGCCAGAGUUCAGGUGGAUUUUUCAACGUUUUUUAUUCCAGAUGGAAAUGAGGUGUGUAUUUGCCUAAAGCUGUGGUUUCUCAUCUAAAAAUCACAGUAUUUCAGUCUGCAAAUGAAAAGUGGAACAGGAAAAUGGCUAAUGCUGGCAGGUGGCCAAAGCCUGGGUUUGAAAAGCAGUUUGCACCUUGGCAAAGGCCAGGAGAAAAGCAGGACUACUCACCCAGCUCCUCUCUCACAGCCAGAGCAGCUUCUGCAGGGCUGGGCAGGGCUGGGUCGUGUCCCUCUCAGCCAGGCACCACCUCAGCUUUCACUAAGGUCACUUUUUUUGACAGAGCCUGACUAGAGAAAAAUGUUUUUCAGGUCCACAAGAAUUUUCAGCCAAUAUUAAUUAAUCCCUGAUCCCUGGUACCCCUUUUUUUUUCUUCAGGCUGUAUUUAUGUUUACACUGAACUGUCUUUACCUUUCUCAUUAUCUUUUUCUUAUAAAGAUUCCUCUUUUCCUCAACACCCAGCUACCCAUUUUCACAUAAUUCAUUAAUUAUUUGGCCUCAGCACAGGGCCAAUAUGUGUGAAUACCUCACCAUCCCAGCUGGCCAUUUGUCUCCUAGUGCAGGUUGAGCUGUCAAGAUUCUAUUGAGUUGCCUCUGCAUCAUCUUGUGACAAACUCUAUGACCAAGGUCCUUUUAUUAUCAAUUAACCAGAAAUACAGCAAGACAUUUUGUUCAAUCUUUGAGUGCAUGAGCUAAUAUUUGUACUGCAAAAUUCAAUCCCACUCAUUUCAUCCCCUUCAGCAUUCAAAGUCUUACAGGGGUUUUUUGUGUGUGUACUGGGAUCCUUUGCUAGAGUAGUGUCUCCCAACCCAGCAUCAACCCCAGCCUGCUCAGAUCUGUGCUGCAGUGGUCAAUGCAAAUGCAGUGAUUAAGCAAAUUCAGUUACAAGAUAUAUACAUAAGAAAUUCCACUUGCAGCUGCCACCCAACUCCACUUUCUUUUCAGCAUUGUCUUUUUUCCUUUAGCCAGCUGCUAACACACAUCAUCAUGCUGCUAAUUCCCAUGUUCUCCAUCUUGACUGUUUUCCACAUUUUCCACACAUCCACUGUAUCAGAUGCUCCAAAUCUAUGAAAUCUGUACUUGCUCAGUUGUGCCAGGCCUGACUCUUACUUUGCUUUUAGCCCUGGGAAUUCCACAGACCUAAUCCCUCUUUGCUUGCAGGCUCAGUUGUGCAUUGCCCUCUUUUUUUUUCCACUUGAAUCUGUUCUUUUCCAGCACUGGAUUCAAACCCCACAGUUUUACAGCAUCAAAACAAGUUUUCUUUUCUACCCUCACAGGAAGUCUGCAGUGAAACCACAGCUGUAGGGGUUCCACAAACAGGAAGAGUUCGCCUCUACGCUGCCACUUUGAGCUGAUAUCAAACCCAGCUCUCCCCUUACUGUUUAAACUUCAGGCUCCUCACCAUUCCAUACAAGUAGCAGAGCUUAAACUGCUCAACAGAACUUAGAGCUAAGAAACUGAAGGGGGUAACAGAAAAUAAGAUCAUACCUUCUUUUCCUUAUAAUAUAAACCAGCUUUUAAUAAUAAAAACUUCUAUCACGUUUUCAGUGAGAAUUACAUAUACAUUUCAGUGUAAAACAGUGCACAGUGUAAAUGCCCUUAGAUACCCUUCUCUGCAUCUCUUGUGUUGGCAGUGGCUGCAGACGUGGGCCAGGAUCCUGCCCAGGCCAUUCCACGGAGCUGAGCUGGUGGAGACACAGCCAGGGCUUGGCCCACGUGUUCCUUCUUACUUUUGGGUGUUCCUACAGUUCUUAUAAUACUAAGUACAUUUUAAGUUGAAGAUUCAGUGAAGAAACAUCCAUUUCUUCUUCAGACAGUAAAUGGUAAGAGUAACUCUCCCAAAAUUAACAAGAAAGUGCAUUGAAAUAGUGAUCUGCUCAUCUGGCUGCAAUCCAGAAUGGACACCCAGCACCAAACCCCUGGAUCCCACAGCUGGCAAUCCAUGGGCUGUCCUAGUUCCCUGUAACAGGUUAGAGCUGAAUAUUUCACAGAAUAUUCUGGGUUGGAAGGGACUCAAGGAUCACUGAGUCCAACUCUUAAGUGAAUGGCCCAUAACGGGGAUGGAGCCCAUGACCUCUGUGUGAUUAGCACCAGGAUCUAAAGAGGCUGCUGUAGGUCAGAGGAAACAGUUAAAAGUAAGAGAUCAAAACAAAACAUGUUCCUUCCCCAAAAUUAUUUCAGUCUGUGAGUGAAAAGAAAAAAAAUAUUUAAAAAUAAAGGAACAAGGUUCAGAACAAUCUGCAUCCCCCAAAUUGUCAUAAGCCAUUUUGUGUUGAAGAGA
Molecule: long non-coding RNA, 5195 nt
Organism: Pseudopipra pipra
Lineage: Eukaryota; Metazoa; Chordata; Aves; Passeriformes; Pipridae
Exons: 2
Source: RefSeq, a predicted model, not a curated record